AACCGAGUGUGAUCGUCUGGGCGGUGUGUUCACUCUGCGGGGAUGAUGGCCAGAGGAAGGAUGAUACACAGACGACAGCUUGCAGAAGAUGGGAGCGUUCUACCUGUGAGCCUGGUCGAGACUAUAUUUUAUGGGUACACAUGCAUGGAUACACAUACAUGGAUUCCCUACAAGGACCCUGCGCAUCAAAAGCAAUCUAUCGUCAAUGUUAAGUAGGGAGAUCAAAUGAAAGGAAGAUAUGGCAGGUGUACACCAUAUUUUCUUUCAUUUAACCUCUGCAUGUUUCCCAGUCAAUAAAUAUUUUUAUUCAUUUU
Molecule: long non-coding RNA, 314 nt
Organism: Rhipicephalus sanguineus (brown dog tick)
Lineage: Eukaryota; Metazoa; Arthropoda; Arachnida; Ixodida; Ixodidae
Exons: 3
Source: RefSeq, a predicted model, not a curated record